Molecule: non-coding RNA, 212 nt
Organism: Pocillopora verrucosa
Lineage: Eukaryota; Metazoa; Cnidaria; Anthozoa; Scleractinia; Pocilloporidae
Source: RefSeq, a predicted model, not a curated record
GCCGUUAUGCGUGAUGUCACGCACUCAUUAGCUAGAUCCCGAGAGGCGCUGCGAGUUAAAAAAUACAUGUGCUCGAUCGAAGUGGAGAAUCGUUUCAACGCCCGUUUAACGUCAUCGUUUAUAUUAUAAGGACACAAACUUUUCGAAACCGUACAACGUUCGUUCAAGAUUGUAAAGUCCAUUUCAUAAUUACAAGUACGCGUGUUCAAGUU